RNAcentral lists this ribosomal RNA (790 nucleotides) under uncultured Alphaproteobacteria bacterium. RNAcentral describes it as "bacterial SSU rRNA". It matches the Rfam family "Bacterial small subunit ribosomal RNA", at positions 45 to 885 of the family's 1533-position model. Lineage: Bacteria; Pseudomonadati; Pseudomonadota; Alphaproteobacteria. The record is from RNAcentral.
AGCUUACCAUGCAGUCGAGCGAAGCCUUCGGGCUUAGCGGCGGACGGGUGAGUAACGCGUGGGAACGUGCCCCUUGGUACGGAAUAGUCCCUGGAAACGGGGUUUAAUACCGUAUGAGCUCUUCGGAGGAAAGAUUUAUCGCCAAGGGAUCGGCCCGCGUUGGGUUAGGUAGUUGGUGGGGUAAUGGCCUACCAAGCCGACGAUCCAUAGCUGGUUUGAGAGGAUGAUCAGCCACACUGGGACUGAGACACGGCCCAGACUCCUACGGGAGGCAGCAGUGGGGAAUCUUAGACAAUGGGGGAAACCCUGAUCUAGCCAUGCCGCGUGAUUGAUGAAGGCCUUAGGGUUGUAAAGAUCUUUCGCUGGGGAAGAUAAUGACGGUACCCAGUAAAGAAGCCCCGGCUAACUCCGUGCCAGCAGCCGCGGUAAUACGGAGGGGGCUAGCGUUGUUCGGAAUUACUGGGCGUAAAGCGCGCGUAGGCGGACUGGAAAGUUGGGGGUGAAAUCCCGGGGCUCAACCCCGGAACUGCCUCCAAAACUGUCAGUCUGGAGUUCGAGAGAGGUGAGUGGAAUUGCGAGUGUAGAGGUGAAAUUCGUAGAUAUUCGCAGGAACACCAGUGGCGAAGGCGGCUCACUGGCUCGAUACUGACGCUGAGGUGCGAAAGUGUGGGGAGCAAACAGGAUUAGAUACCCUGGUAGUCCACACCGUAAACGAUGAAUGCCAGACGUCGGGCAGCAUGCUGUUCGGUGUCACACCUAACGGAUUAAGCAUUCCGCCUGGGGAGUACGG